This 1952-nucleotide long non-coding RNA is filed under the name Triticum aestivum (bread wheat). RNAcentral describes it as "long non-coding RNA (TAES_LNC015695)". Lineage: Eukaryota; Viridiplantae; Streptophyta; Magnoliopsida; Poales; Poaceae. The record is from RNAcentral.
AGGUCUGUUGCGGCAAUUGAAUGCUUCAAAGGAUUUUAAUGGAGUUCAUUGUAGCUGAGUCGCAAAUCUCCAGCUUGCUUUCAUGUCUUUUCUCACUAGAGACAUCACCUGCCGGCGACGGCGAUGACCGCUACCCUGCUCCUCUCCCGGCAAAGGCAUGGCUACCUCUCCUGUGAAGUUAAGGCCAUCUUUGCCUCUUCCUUCAGUUUUUCCUCUGUUUUUUGUUACACGACUUUGUGGUGCUUAGUGUAUAUAUCAUUCCCCCCUGUCCAUUAAUUGAACAACUCUGCUACAUGUGAUUGCAUUAGCAAACUCCAUUUUUGUGUAUGUAGAAAAACAAAGGAAACUCCAUUUUUGUGUAUGUGGAAAAAACAAAGGAAACUGCAUUUUUGUGUAAUUACAAACAAAUGAAACUCCAUUUUUUUGUAAUUACAAACAAGAGACUUUUAGACGGCGAAGACUGCUGCCCUGAUCCUAAGAGCCUACUGACAUUUCACCAAAUCUUGUUAUAAUUUUUUUUAUCAGCAGCAGAUACUUUUAAAUUUGUCUUUACAAUUCCAAGUACAUGAUCAUACUGAUCCUUCUUUUUUUGAUGUAGCAGAACAAACGUUCGUAAUUUAUACACCUAGGCUCAGCUUCUCUAUAUUGAUACGAAGGCCUGGAGCAUGUUUCUUUUGUUUUCAACUCGAGAGGGCCAGGUAGGACCAUAUAGACACAGUAAAAGGCCAGUUUCUUUGUUCCACGCCUUACAAAAACGAGCAAGGCUGACAUAAUAUUUCUGGUUCCCUUCUACUGUGUGCAAACAGAACCUGGCGGCGCAAUAGCAGCUCAACUACUAUUGUUAUUAAUCAGGAUAAAUGCUUCUGCUUUUCAUCGGCCGGUAAACAUGCUAAGUUUGCCUGGCUGGCACACAUGCCUAGGCACAACAAUCUGCCCCAGCACCGCACGGCAAGGCGCGCUGCAGGUCAUUUAUAUAGCAUCUCCUCAUUUGUAUAUUAUUCACAUAUAGCAUCUCAUUUCUUGGUUGAUUGCUUACAUGUAUUAAACUUCUGGCUCUUUCGCUCCCAAGCUGGCCUCCCUCUCCUUGGUGCUCAGCGGCAGAAGCACGAGGCGCUGCACCUUUGACCCCGUAGUGCUCGGCUCCAAUUCAUCAGGGAGGCCACCGGCAAGCAUGAAGCUGCCCUUGGUGCUUCCUCCUCAUCAAGGAGGAGGAGGUCGGGUAGCGCCGUCCUCAAGGUACGUCCUCGCUGCUUUGACCCGCCUCUCUCGUGCACCUGUCCUUCCCUAUUUCUCUUACUGUCGCGGUGCUCGUGCCGCUGCCGAUCCUAACCUAGGUCGCCGUCACUCCUCGGCGCUUCGCAGGACAGGCACAACCGCGACACCGCAGAGACGGGCGAGGAUGUGGUGCUGCUCCUUCUUGUGGUGUAUGCAUUGACGUUGCUUGCGGUAGUGAUGCAUAUCUUCGUGGGCAAUGCUAUUUGAAGACCAUUCAAGUGAUUUAAGGGAGAAGAUGUCCAGAAUGUAAGGAGGUUGAAGAUGACGACCAAGAGGUUGACAUAUUAAGCGGCUGCCAAGAAGCCAAUAAUGCUUGCCCCCUGCCAUUAGUAAUACCCGCUCUUCUUUAUGAAAUCUUUCCUAACUAUCGUUGCAGAUUGUGAGAUCCCUAUUUAAAUACAUCACUCAGCGUCUGGCCGGUACAGAGUUGCAUGGCAGGCAUAUGUGUUCUCAGCCACCUUAUCAAUUGUAGGCUUAGAAUGAUUUGCUUCGUCCAAGUGUUGUUCGUCAACAAUUUUUUUGUUUGUCCAUGUCAAUUCUGAUUUUAGAGGAUACAUAUGUUUUGGUAGGAAGUGUAUUGUUCUUAUGUUUUUUCCUGGUAUGUACUGACUGAUGCAGUAAUUGAUGUUUCAGAUUAUGAAAUCCCUAUUUAAUAAAUCGCUCGGUAAUUGUCUUGU